CUAUUUUUACCCUCACAGGGGAUAAGCCUCCCUGAGGCUACAGAAGCAAAGCCCAGAGAUGGGAGUCGGGGAGACAGAGCCUCCUCAUGAUGUCACGAUGUCACCUGAGCUCCUGGGUCCAGCUUGUUUCAUGAGCUGGGGCAUCAAGGGAGCGCCCAAGUAAAUGAAUGAGAACACAUUCAGGGACUAAUGAUUGUAACUGUUCGGGCACGGUGAGGCAAGAGGAACGUACAGUUACAGAAUCCGUGGGCAAAGCAUCUCGGGGCCAGGAGCGAGCCUGAAGGCACUGUGUAGGCCUUGAUCAGUUUAGCAAUUUCUACGAUUCUGACAUCCUCUUUCUGUUCUUUCCGGACUCAGGCAUCCAAGGUCACCUCAUUAUGGCUCUGUGCGAAGACAGCACCCCAAAGGGGCCAUCGAUUUGGAACAUCUGAUCGGCUUUCUGAGUCAGAUCCACUAGCUCGUAAAAUCCAAUAAAUGUCAAAGAUAUGUCAGGCCCAUUAACCUCUGGAGGUCUAUUAAAAGACUCUGCUUCUGCUAAG
This 539-nucleotide long non-coding RNA is filed under the name Homo sapiens (human). Its description in RNAcentral is "HSALNT0098028". Lineage: Eukaryota; Metazoa; Chordata; Mammalia; Primates; Hominidae. The record is from RNAcentral.